UACGAAGGGGGCUAGCGUUGCUCGGAAUCACUGGGCGUAAAGGGUGCGUAGGCGGGUCUUUAAGUCAGGGGUGAAAUCCUGGAGCUCAACUCCAGAACUGCCUUUGAUACUGAAGAUCUUGAGGUCGGGAGAGGUGAGUGGAACUGCGAGUGUAGAGGUGAAGUUCGUAGAUAUUCGCAAGAACACCAGUGGCGAAGGCGGCUCACUGGCCCGAUACUGACGCUGAGGCACGAAAGCGUGGGGAGCAAACAGG
RNAcentral lists this ribosomal RNA (253 nucleotides) under uncultured bacterium. Its description in RNAcentral is "partial 16S ribosomal RNA". It matches the Rfam family "Bacterial small subunit ribosomal RNA", at positions 524 to 776 of the family's 1533-position model. The record is from RNAcentral.